This is a long non-coding RNA of Zea mays, 152 nucleotides long. RefSeq lists it as uncharacterized. The record is from RefSeq and is a predicted model, not a curated record. The transcript is spliced from 2 exons. NCBI's taxonomy places the organism in Eukaryota, Viridiplantae, Streptophyta, Magnoliopsida, Poales, Poaceae.
GUUUAAUACCAGCUACCUUGUUCUACAAGCUAUGACCAUGUGGGGGAAUGACAGACGAAUGAAAUUUGUUGGGGAUGCAAAGAUUCUUCGAAGGAACUUUGUGAUUGAUCUGUUAAGUUAUGAGGACAAUUCGUGCCGAUAUGCCAUCCCUG